UAGGGAAUCUUCGGCAAUGGGGGCAACCCUGACCGAGCAACGCCGCGUGAGUGAAGAAGGUUUUCGGAUCGUAAAGCUCUGUUGUAAGAGAAGAACGUGUGUGAGAGUGGAAAGUUCACACAGUGACGGUAACUUACCAGAAAGGGACGGCUAACUACGUGCCAGCAGCCGCGGUAAUACGUAGGUCCCGAGCGUUGUCCGGAUUUAUUGGGCGUAAAGCGAGCGCAGGCGGUUUAAUAAGUCUGAAGUUAAAGGCAGUGGCUUAACCAUUGUUCGCUUUGGAAUCUGUUAAACUUGAGUGCAGAAGGGGAGAGUGGAAUUCCAUGUGUAGCGGAGAAAUGCGUAGAUAUAUGGAGGAACACCGGUGGCGAAAGCGGCUCUCUGGUCUGUAACUGACGCUGAGGCUCGAAAGCGUGGGGAGCAAACAGG
RNAcentral lists this ribosomal RNA (429 nucleotides) under bacterium. RNAcentral describes it as "partial 16S ribosomal RNA". It matches the Rfam family "Bacterial small subunit ribosomal RNA", at positions 355 to 776 of the family's 1533-position model. The record is from RNAcentral.